RNAcentral lists this transfer RNA (77 nucleotides) under Brucella ovis ATCC 25840. RNAcentral describes it as "tRNA-Asn". It matches the Rfam family "tRNA". From Rfam's summary of the family: Transfer RNA (tRNA) molecules are approximately 80 nucleotides in length. Lineage: Bacteria; Pseudomonadati; Pseudomonadota; Alphaproteobacteria; Hyphomicrobiales; Brucellaceae. The record is from RNAcentral.
UUCCCCGGUAGCUCAGCGGUAGAGCAACCGGCUGUUAACCGGUUGGUCGCUGGUUCGAAUCCGGCCCGGGGAGCCAC